CACGUAGGGCGCAAGCGUUGUCCGGAAUUAUUGGGCGUAAAGAGCUCGUAGGCGGUCUGUUGCGUCUGCUGUGAAAACUCGGGGCUUAACCCCGAGCCUGCAGUGGAUACGGGCAGACUAGAGGUAGGUAGGGGAGAAUGGAAUUCCCGGUGUAGCGGUGAAAUGCGCAGAUAUCAGGAAGAACACCCGUGGCGAAGGCGGUUCUCUGGAACGCAACUGACGCUAAGACGCGAAAGCGUGGGGAGCAAACAGG
This 253-nucleotide ribosomal RNA is filed under the name uncultured bacterium. RNAcentral describes it as "partial 16S ribosomal RNA". It matches the Rfam family "Bacterial small subunit ribosomal RNA", at positions 524 to 776 of the family's 1533-position model. The record is from RNAcentral.